Molecule: ribosomal RNA, 497 nt
Filed under: uncultured bacterium
Lineage: Bacteria
Description: partial 16S ribosomal RNA
Rfam family: Bacterial small subunit ribosomal RNA
Source: RNAcentral
GAUGAACGCUGGCGGCGUGCCUAAUACAUGCAAGUCGAGCGAACGGACGAGAAGCUUGCUUCUCUGAUGUUAGCGGCGGACGGGUGAGUAACACGUGGAUAACCUACCUAUAAGACUGGGAUAACUUCGGGAAACCGGAGCUAAUACCGGAUAAUAUUUUGAACCGCAUGGUUCAAAGGUGAAAGACGGUCUUGCUGUCACUUAUAGAUGGAUCCGCGCUGCAUUAGAUAGUUGGUAAGGUAACGGCUUACCAAGGCAACGAUGCAUAGCCGACCUGAGAGGGUGAUCGGCAACACUGGAACUGAGACACGGACCAGACUCCUACGGGAGGCAGCAGUAGGGAAUCUUCCGCAAUGGGCGAAAGCCUGACGGAGCAACGCCGCGUGAGUGAUGAAGGUCUUCGGAUCGUAAAACUCUGUUAUUAGGGAAGAACAUAUGUGUAAGUAACUGUGCACAUCUUGACGGUAACUAAUCAGAAAGCCACGGCUAACUACGUG